AAACCAUUUUGACACAGUUUGACCCUUGAAGAUGUUUGAUAUGUUUCCUGUGAUGUGAUUUCAUUAAGGACAAACUGCAAACAGAAUGGCUUUUCAGAUCACUUACUCCAGGACUUGAAGCUUAAGAAAACAUAACCAAAUUGACUCCAAGUUCCUACUUCCAUACCCUGUCUGACAGCUAUUUAUCUGCAGUAUUUAGGAACUAUUUCUCCUUUCAGCCUGCAUCCAUUUUACAGAGAACAUUUCUGACCCUCCUCAUGAGGGCUGGAAGCCACAAAAUGCCCCAAGAAUCCAUCGUGGUGCUGCACCUGGUGUCAGGGAAGUGGGAUGAAAUAAAUUCUUGCUUUCAAGGUCAGUGAAGGGUUUUCAAGUAGGCUUUAAGGAAACAGGAACAAGGACUUAACUCCCAGAUCAACGUUUUGACUCCUCUUGCCUAAUUUAUUUCCUGAAGUGAAAUGGUACAAAGAUGUGCCUGCAACUGAGGUUUGUGUUCAUGUGGAUGGAUGUAUACCUGACCUAAACAGAACAAUCCUGUGUGCUGGUUGACCUACAGGGCAGUAUUUUUGACAGCCUCUGUGCACAGUUGCAUACCCACACCCACCCC
Molecule: long non-coding RNA, 604 nt
Organism: Pogoniulus pusillus (Red-fronted tinkerbird)
Lineage: Eukaryota; Metazoa; Chordata; Aves; Piciformes; Lybiidae
Exons: 2
Source: RefSeq, a predicted model, not a curated record